This 506-nucleotide ribosomal RNA is filed under the name uncultured bacterium. RNAcentral's name for it is "partial 16S ribosomal RNA". It matches the Rfam family "Bacterial small subunit ribosomal RNA", at positions 29 to 523 of the family's 1533-position model. The record is from RNAcentral.
AGUGAACGCUGGCGGUAGGCCUAACACAUGCAAGUCGAACGGCAGCACAGGAGAGCUUGCUCUCUGGGUGGCGAGUGGCGGACGGGUGAGGAAUACAUCGGAAUCUACUCUGUCGUGGGGGAUAACGUAGGGAAACUUACGCUAAUACCGCAUACGACCUACGGGUGAAAGCAGGGGAUCUUCGGACCUUGCGCGAUUGAAUGAGCCGAUGUCGGAUUAGCUAGUUGGCGGGGUAAAGGCCCACCAAGGCGACGAUCCGUAGCUGGUCUGAGAGGAAGAUCAGCCACACUGGAACUGAGACAAGGUCCAGACUCCUACGGGAGGCAGCAGUGGGGAAUAUUGGACAAUGGGCGCAAGCCUGAUCCAGCCAUACCGCGCGGGUGAAGAAGGCCUUCGGGUUGUAAAGCCCUUUUGUUGGGAAAGAAAUCCAGCUGGCUAAUACCCGGUUGGGAUGACGGUACCCAAAGAAUAAGCACCGGCUAACUUCGUGCCAGCCGCCGCGGUAA